UGCAAGUCGAACGAUGACGGCCGUGCUUGCACGGUCUGAUUAGUGGCGAACGGGUGAGUAACACGUGAGUAACCUGCCCUCCACUUCGGGAUAACCUCGGGAAAUCGUGGCUAAUACCGGAUAUGAGCACUCAUCGCAUGGUGGGUGUUGGAAAGAUUUAUCGGUGGGGGAUGGACUCGCGGCCUAUCAGUUUGUUGGUGAGGUGAUGGCUCACCAAGACGAUGACGGGUAGCCGGCCUGAGAGGGCGACCGGCCACACUGGGACUGAGACACGGCCCAGACUCCUACGGGAGGCAGCAGUGGGGAAUAUUGCACAAUGGGCGAAAGCCUGAUGCAGCGACGCCGCGUGAGGGAUGACGGCCUUCGGGUUGUAAACCUCUUUCAGUAGGGAAGAAGCGAGAGUGACGGUACCUGCAGAAGAAGCGCCGGCUAACUACGUGCCAGCAGCCGCGGUAAUACGUAGGGCGCAAGCGUUGUCCGGAAUUAUUGGGCGUAAAGAGCUUGUAGGUGGCUUGUCGCGUCUGCCGUGAAAACCCGAGGCUCAACCUCGGGCGUGCGGUGGGUACGGGCAGGCUAGAGUGUGGUAGGGGAGACUGGAACUCCUGGUGUAGCGGUGAAAUGCGCAGAUAUCAGGAAGAACACCGAUGGCGAAGGCAGGUCUCUGGGCCAUUACUGACACUGAGAAGCGAAAGCAUGGGUAGCGAACAGGAUUAGAUACCCUGGUAGUCCAUGCCGUAAACGUUGGGCACUAGGUGUGGGGGGCAUUCCACGUUUUCCGCGCCGUAGCUAACGCAUUAAGUGCCCCGCCUGGGGAGUACGGCCGCAAGGCUAAAACUCAAAGGAAUUGACGGGGGCCCGCACAAGCGGCGGAGCAUGCUGAUUAAUUCGAUGCAACGCGAAGAACCUUACCAAGGCUUGACAUGCACUGGACGGCUGCAGAGAUGUGGCUUUCUUUGGACUGGUGCACAG
Molecule: ribosomal RNA, 969 nt
Filed under: Brachybacterium sp. MCCC 1A09972
Lineage: Bacteria; Bacillati; Actinomycetota; Actinomycetes; Micrococcales; Dermabacteraceae
Description: bacterial SSU rRNA
Rfam family: Bacterial small subunit ribosomal RNA
Source: RNAcentral